ACGGGAAGUAAAAGUCGUAACAAGGUCUCCGUUGGUGAACCAGCGGAGGGAUCAUUAUAGAGUUUUCAAAACUCCCAACCCAUGUGAACUUACCUAUGUUGCCUCGGUGGGAGCCUACCCUGUACCUACCCUGUAACGGGUUACCCGGGAGCGGCCCCACCGGUGGACCUUUUAACUCUUGUUAUUUUAUUGUAAUCUGAGAGUCUUAUUUUAAAUAAGUCAAAACUUUCAACAACGGAUCUCUUGGUUCUGGCAUCGAUGAAGAACGCAGCGAAAUGCGAUAAGUAAUGUGAAUUGCAGAAUUCAGUGAAUCAUCGAAUCUUUGAACGCACAUUGCGCCCAUUAGUAUUCUAGUGGGCAUGCCUGUUCGAGCGUCAUUUCAACCCUUAAGCCUAGCUUAGUGUUGGGAAUCUACACCAAAGGCCUCUGGCCCUACUGUAGUUCCCGAAAAUCAACGGCGGAUCUAUAAUAGUCCUCUGAGCGUAGUAAUACCCGCUGAACUUAAGCAUAUCAAUAAGCGGAGGAA
This 526-nucleotide ribosomal RNA is filed under the name uncultured Subramaniomyces. Its description in RNAcentral is "eukaryotic LSU rRNA". The stretch from base 224 to 377 matches the Rfam family "5.8S ribosomal RNA". The record is from RNAcentral. Lineage: Eukaryota; Fungi; Ascomycota; Sordariomycetes; Xylariales.